Molecule: ribosomal RNA, 253 nt
Filed under: uncultured bacterium
Lineage: Bacteria
Description: partial 16S ribosomal RNA
Rfam family: Bacterial small subunit ribosomal RNA
Source: RNAcentral
UACGUAGGGUGCAAGCGUUAAUCGGAAUUACUGGGCGUAAAGCGUACGCAGGCGGCUAUGUAAGACAGGUGUGAAAUCCCCGGGCCUAACCUGGGAACUGCAUUUGUGACUGCAUAGCUAGAGUCCGUCAGAGGGGGGUGGAAUUCCACGUGUAGCAGUGAAAUGCGUAGAGAUGUGGAGGAACACCGAUGGCGAAGGCAGCCCCCUGGGUUAACACUGACGCUCAGGCACGAAAGCGUGGGGAGCAAACAGG